This 389-nucleotide ribosomal RNA is filed under the name Dinophyceae sp. Its description in RNAcentral is "partial small subunit ribosomal RNA". It matches the Rfam family "Eukaryotic small subunit ribosomal RNA", at positions 582 to 975 of the family's 1831-position model. The record is from RNAcentral. Lineage: Eukaryota; Dinophyceae.
AUUCCAGCUCCAAUAGCGUAUAUUAAAGUUGUUGCAGUUAAAAAGCUCGUAGUUGGAUUUCUGCAGAGGACGACCGGUCCGCCCUCUGGGUGAGUAUCUGCCUCGACCGGGGCAUCUUCUUGGAGAGCGUAGCUGCACUUGACUCUGUGGUACGGUACCCAGGACUUUUACUUUGAGGAAAUUAGAGUGUUUCAAGCAGGCACACGCCUUGAAUACAAUAGCAUGGAAUAAUAAGAUAGGACAUUGGUUCUAUGUUGUUGGCUUCUAGAGUGGAGGUAAUGAUUAAUAGGGAUAGUUGGGGGCAUUCGUAAUUAAUUCUCAGAGGUGAAAUUCUUGGAUUUGUUAAAGUCGGACUACUGCGAAAGCAUUUGCCAUGGAUGUUUUCAUCA